GACGAACGCUGGCGGCGUGCCUAAUACAUGCAAGUCGAACGCACAGUUUAUACCGUAGCUUGCUACACCAUAGACUGUGAGUUGCGAACGGGUGAGUAACGCGUAGGUAACCUGCCUGGUAGCGGGGGAUAACUAUUGGAAACGAUAGCUAAUACCGCAUAAUAUUAAUUAUUGCAUGAUAAUUGAUUGAAAGAUGCAACUGCAUCACUACCAGAUGGACCUGCGUUGUAUUAGCUAGUAGGUGAGGUAACGGCUCACCUAGGCGACGAUACAUAGCCGACCUGAGAGGGUGAUCGGCCACACUGGAACUGAGACACGGUCCAGACUCCUACGGGAGGCAGCAGUAGGGAAUCUUCCGCAAUGGGCGAAAGCCUGACGGAGCAACGCCGCGUGAGUGAAGAAGGUCUUCGGAUCGUAAAACUCUGUUAUAAGGGAAGAACGGAUGUGGAAGUGAAAAUGCACGUCUUGACGGUACAUUAUCAGAAAGGGAAGGGUAAACACGGG
Molecule: ribosomal RNA, 504 nt
Filed under: uncultured bacterium
Lineage: Bacteria
Description: partial 16S ribosomal RNA
Rfam family: Bacterial small subunit ribosomal RNA
Source: RNAcentral